AAAAAAAAAAAACAGAAGAGUAGAAAUCAACCAAAAUUCAUCUGGCAACAAAUUUGUUACAUGUGACACCAUGUUGAAAGAGAUGAAAGUAAAGGCAAAAGGCAAUGGAUGAAUCAGGUGUCAAAUAAGAUCAAUUAGUUAGCAUACAAUCUAUAAUCUCAUUUUGUUGUCCUUUCUAAUGUAAGUUCAUACUUUGCUUCCUUGUGGUUGGGCCUCUUUCUUACUUCACUCUCCUGAGAUUUUUGACACGACUCUUUAUGCCCCUUAUGGUUCCUAGACACUCCCCCCAACCAUCUUCUCUUCUCCUCUCUAUCUUUUUUUUUUUAUUUAAUUGAUAAAACCAAAUAAAUCUAUUAACUUAAAAGCUUGGGAACAACAUCUCUUUUGUAAUUUCAUAAUCAACAACAACUAAGCCUUAAUCCCGAACUAGUUGAGCUAUGCAAUAUGGAACCUUUUUCACCAAAAAGACAAAAAAAAUGAAGAGAUUCAUUUGCUUUUUGAUUAACACUCCAUUUGAUUUUGAAAUCUGCAUCUCAUGUCAAAGAUUAACUUUACUUGCAUACAAUUUUUAAAAACAAAAAUUAUUCAGUUAAAGCCUUGUUAAACCAAACUUACAUCUUUUUGAAAAUCACAAGGAAUAACAGUAUCCUGCUAACACUAUUUCUUAUUGCCUACAGAAAGUGCCCUACAUGCAUUUGUAGCUCAGCUUUUCAGAGUUGUAACUGCAUGCAUUUUAUAAUGGAAGAGGAAAAGUCACUGAAAAGAAAUGAAAAUAUGCCUUUAAAGGAAAAUUCAAAUCUUAAAAACAGUUCCAAUGCAUACAAGUUGAACAAGAGGAUAUGGAAAUAAACCAAGAAAUACUCCAUUUUGAUCUGAUCAUCAAUUCUAUGUUAGUCAAACCUAGAAUAAAAUUCCAUUACAGCAUAACACACACCAAAGGGCAUAUUAUAGUCACAAAAAGGAAUUAUAGAUCCUAGAAUUAAAAUAACAAAAUAAGUGGCAGAAUCCCAUCUCCCUACAUUUUGGCAGCAUAUCAUAUCAAUUGAUAGAUACAGCAAACUGAUAAAUUGAUUGCAUUAGAAAAAGUCGUAUUGACAUGCAAAUAAUUGCAUCUAUUGCAGUAUCAUAAGUAGACAUCAGUUUUGUUCAUGCGGAGGUUUAGCGUAUCCCAAGCUACAUUAUCUCACGUUUUCAUGAACAAUGUUCAACGCUACUUACAAUGGAUGGCAAGGUUGGGGUUUCACAAAAAUUUAGACAAAGGGAAAACCACAAUCACUGUGCUCCAUUUGGAUUCAUGGAGAAAGUAAGAUACAUAAAUAUGAAUUUGUUCUUAUAUGAAAAUGAGCCAUUAACUCUUAAAUUAAAAUGAUUUUUUUGUAUAAUUGCAGCAAUCAAUAAGCAUUUUAUGACAAAAAGGAGUAGUGAUACAUGGCAUGAUCUUCCUUAAAUGCUAUAUAUAUGUAAAGUAAAACCCUGUAUGACCAAAAGAAAAAUUAUGCUUGAAACUAUAACAAUUU
Molecule: unclassified non-coding RNA, 1517 nt
Filed under: Hevea brasiliensis (rubber tree)
Lineage: Eukaryota; Viridiplantae; Streptophyta; Magnoliopsida; Malpighiales; Euphorbiaceae
Source: RNAcentral